AUGAAGGUGAAGACACUCGGCCU
This 23-nucleotide non-coding RNA is filed under the name Arabidopsis thaliana (thale cress). Lineage: Eukaryota; Viridiplantae; Streptophyta; Magnoliopsida; Brassicales; Brassicaceae. The record is from RNAcentral.